Molecule: unclassified non-coding RNA, 898 nt
Filed under: uncultured fungus
Lineage: Eukaryota; Fungi
Description: sequence contains 18S rRNA gene, ITS1, 5.8S rRNA gene, ITS2, 28S rRNA gene
Rfam family: Eukaryotic large subunit ribosomal RNA (bases 267-898)
Source: RNAcentral
CGUUGGAUCAGUUCCGUCUAUCAUAACAAGAUUUCUUUUAUAUGAUCACAUAUUCAUGAAAUAAAAAAUUAGAGACGCGUCAACGGAUGUCUCGGCUGUCUGCACGAUGAAGAACGUUGCAUAAUGUGAUAAGUGACCAGAGUAGCACACAUCGUGACAGGUUUAAUCUUUGAAUGCAUAUUGCCCUCAUUAGAGGAUUGAUGCUUGUGUUGCCUUUUUAAUCGAAAGUUUGCUUUUUAAGCGAAGAAAUGAUGAUAAACAAAUAGGGCACACAGGUCUCAAGGAAUACCCGCUGAACUGAAGCAUCUCAAUAAGCGGAGGAAAAGAAACUAACUAGGAUUCCCCCAGUAAAGGCGAUCGAAGAGGGAAUAGCUCUAAUUCUAACCCUUCGGGGGAUGUGAAUUUGCAUUUUGAGGGCGCGCAAAGUCGGCACGAACGCCGCGUCAUAGAGAGUUUAAACCUCGUUGGCGGCCCAUACAUGCAAGAGUGAGUAGGGUAGCUUGAGAUUGCUGCCUGAAUCGGUGGUAUCACACAUCUAAGGCUUAAUAUUGCAGGCAGUCCGAUAGCGCAUAAGUAGUGUGAACGAACGAUGAAAAGUACUCCAAAGCGGAGUGUGCAAAGUUCCUGAACUUGUCGCGUCUAAGGCCACUUGUGGCGCCCGUCUUGAAACACGGAUUAGGGAGUCUUUCUCAUUUUUGAAGGGGACAGAUAACACGACUGCGAAAGCGGCAUCAGAGAAGAUGAGAUAGAACCCGAAAGGUGGUGAACUAUGCCAGCACAGGAUGAAGUCAGGGGAAACCCUGAUGGAGGUCCGUCGCGUUAUUGAUGUGCAAAUCAUUCGUCAGAUGUUGGUAUAGGUGCGAAAGACUCAUCGAACCACCUAAUAGCUGGUUUCCCC